Long non-coding RNA from Poecilia latipinna (sailfin molly), 1373 nucleotides. RefSeq lists it as uncharacterized. The transcript is spliced from 2 exons. The record is from RefSeq and is a predicted model, not a curated record. NCBI's taxonomy places the organism in Eukaryota, Metazoa, Chordata, Actinopteri, Cyprinodontiformes, Poeciliidae.
CAAAUCUUCUAUGUUGAGUUUGUUGUCCCUGGGCAGCCUAUCUGAACAACGCCCCACCCUCCAAGGCUUUCCUCUCCCGAUCCUUCUUGCCUUCAGACUGUUCCAGCAGGGCAGCUGACAGGGGCAGUAUUGGUUUUCACAGCUAUGACUGUGCAGUGAUGAGGCAUGCAUAUGUAUAGAAACUUGAUUUCUUGAUUAGAAAAAAAAAAAGAGAAAAAAAAAUAAUAAAACAGUUAACUCUGUUGUUUCUGUAACCGAUUCAGGAUGAAAAAAGUUCAAUAAAAGUGUCAUGUUUGUAGUGAACUUUUACCUGGAUAUGGUGUUUUAUUCCUGUAAAUUGUAAUUGUUUUGAAAAAGUGUAAAAGAAGAAAAGCCAGGUUAAUGUUGAACUUUGGGAGGAAAGUAAAAAUUGCAGUUUUUUUUUUUUAAAGAAACGUAAACUAUUAAAAGGUGAUUUAAAAAAGAAAGAAACAUCGUCUAUCUUUGUGGAUACAGUUUAUAAAGCUAAACCUGCUGUUUCAUAAAAGUAGUUACAUGUUUUUAAAAGGAGUAUGACGUUUUGUGUAAUAAGUUUGGCUUAUUACUUUAUGUUUUGAAUUAUUUUCAGCUCCUGGGUCCCAUGUAUACGCAGCAUCUUGAUGUCCAAAAAGCUUUAAAAUAAACCCAUCGUUCACUGUAGUGGCAGAAGAUCACACUAAAAAAGAUUAGAGCUCAUAAAUGGCCUCAUAAUACACAACCAUGAUUUUGGCAACUGAUGCAGAAUCAUUUUGCAUCGGACUGAACCCAAAUUUUCAUACAAUCUGAAAGAUGCUUGUUGUGUUAAUAAAAUAAUGAAGUGCUUCUGGAGUAUGAAUUAGAUUAUAAUAUUUUCCCACAUAACAAAUAGAUACGAUGGUUAUCUCUUCAUAAUUGUACCCAAUAAUUUUAACUUCCACUUCUCGCCUGGAAACCAGACCCACUUGAUCUUUAGCUAUGCAGAGUCGACCUUGUGCCGCUUCAACUCUAGCACCAUGGGAUCCAGUUUCAGUCUGGUCCACUGAUGCCAGUUUCUCUAGUGCUGGGUUCAGUAUCAGAUGUCCCCAGAAUAAAAUGGGUGGUUUUAUCAGCUUACCCAGUGGCAGCUGCUGCUGCAGGAAGACGAACGUAGAUCCUCUAAAGGCCACACUUUAACGAAAUCAGAGAAGGAAAGGAUGGAGAGAUCCUCCCAUCACGGGACCACAGAGCAUCCUCUCAGGGACAUUUCCUUUCCUGGUAAACAGGACAGAAAGUGCUGCCGCCAAGGCCAAGUCACUCCUCACUCCUCACUCCGGCCUUCAUUGUCUGCCUAAAUGGAAAAGCUACGACCUUUUUUAUUAUAUGUAUUGCUGCGAUAA